AGCAACGCGAAGAACCUUACCAGGUCUUGACAUCCUCUGACAAUCCUAGAGAUAGGACGUCCCCUUCGGGGGCAGAGUGACAGGUGGUGCAUGGUUGUCGUCAGCUCGUGUCGUGAGAUGUUGGGUUAAGUCCCGCAACGAGCGCAACCCUUGAUCUUAGUUGCCAGCAUUCAGUUGGGCACUCUAAGGUGACUGCCGGUGACAAACCGGAGGAAGGUGGGGAUGACGUCAAAUCAUCAUGCCCCUUAUGACCUGGGCUACACACGUGCUACAAUGGACAGAACAAAGGGCAGCAAAACCGCGAGGUUAAGCCAAUCCCACAAAUCUGUUCUCAGUUCGGAUCGCAGUCUGCAACUCGACUGCGUGAAGCUGGAAUCGCUAGUAAUCGCGGAUCAGCAUGCCGCGGUGAAUACGUUCCCGGGCCUUGUACACACCGCCCGUCACACCACGAGAGUUUGUAACACCCGAAGUCGGUGAGGUAACCUUUAUGGAGCCAGCCGCCGAAGGUGGGACAGAUGAUUGGGGUGAAGUCGUAACAAGGUAGCCGUAUCGGAAGGUGCGGCUGGACAAACCUCCAUAAAA
Molecule: ribosomal RNA, 582 nt
Filed under: Bacillus sp. CC1
Lineage: Bacteria; Bacillati; Bacillota; Bacilli; Caryophanales; Bacillaceae
Description: bacterial SSU rRNA
Rfam family: Bacterial small subunit ribosomal RNA
Source: RNAcentral